This is a non-coding RNA of Halomonas sp. 1513, 174 nucleotides long. Lineage: Bacteria; Pseudomonadati; Pseudomonadota; Gammaproteobacteria; Oceanospirillales; Halomonadaceae. The record is from Rfam.
UCCGUCGCGAGGCGGAAUCUGAAGGAAGCUGAAGGCAAACUCCUGGCCCGACGAACAGGAACCGUAUAUGAGGCUCCCGCAUCUGGGCGAGAGGGCUAAGAUCCUCGAAACCCGAUAGCUAUCCAGAAGGUGCGGUAGUAAAUGCGGCGGGUAGGUGGGAGGAAGGUCGCGCGU